Molecule: ribosomal RNA, 776 nt
Filed under: uncultured Neocallimastigales
Lineage: Eukaryota; Fungi; Neocallimastigomycota; Neocallimastigomycetes; Neocallimastigales
Description: partial large subunit ribosomal RNA
Rfam family: Eukaryotic large subunit ribosomal RNA
Source: RNAcentral
CAUAGCGACUAUCGUGGCAUAUCAAUAAGCGGAGGAAAAGAAACUAACAAGGAUUCCCCUAGUAACGGCGAGUGAAGCGGGAAGAGCUCAGAUUUGAAAUCUUAAAGGGUUUCCCUUUACGAAUUGUAGUUUAAAGAAGUGUUUUCUGUUGAAGUUUUGGUAAAAGUUCUUUGGAAUAGGACAUCAUAGAGGGUGAGAAUCCCGUAUUUGACCAUUAUUUUCAGCUGUGUGAUACACUUUCAAAGAGUCGGAUUGUUUGGGAAUGCAGUCCAAAAUGGGUGGUAAAUUUCAUCUAAAGCUAAAUAUUGGCGAGAGACCGAUAGCGAACAAGUACCGUGAGGGAAAGAUGAAAAGAACUUUGAAAAGAGAGUUAAACAGUACGUGAAAUUGUCAAAAGGGAAGCGUUUGACACCAGUGUUGUUUAGUUGAAAAUCAAUUCAAUAACUUUUUGAUUUUAAGUAGUAUUGACUUCAUCAGCUUGCUGCUUUCUUUUCAGGAAAUUAUUUAAUGCACUUUUCAGUUAACAAGUCAACAUCAAUUUCUUUCGUUGUAAAAGGGUAAGAGGAAGGUGGCUUACGCUUCGGCGUAAGUGUUUAUAGCCUUUUACCUCUGCAAUCGGAGAGAUUGAGGACAGCAGCGUAGACUCUUCGGGGUUAGAUACACUUGUGCUAAGCUAUAGCCUUGUAUAGACAACUUGUUGACUAUGCUCAGUCAUGUAGCUUACUCGCUUGUGCUAUUUUACCUACGCUUAGGAUGUUGAUAUGCAUGACUGAUAU